UGAAAAUUUUAGUCUGAAAUUUUCCUGAAACAUUUCUGAAAUUUUCCUGAAACAUUCCAGAAUUGUCUAUCUGAAUCAAGUCUGAAACAAAAGUCUGAAACAUGCCUGUAAUUGGAACAUUCCAGGCAUGUUUCAGACUUGGUGUUUCAGCCAAUUGCGAGUGAUGUUUCAGCCAAAAUUUCAGCAAUGUUUCAUACAGUUUUCAAACUAUAAGUAAGCAAGGUUUCAGAAAUAUUCAGCAAUUAUUCAGUGCCGUUUCAGCAAUUAUUCAGCACUGUUUCAGAAAUUAUUCAGCACUGUUUCAGCAAAUAUUAAGUACUGUUUCAGCAAUUAUUCAGCACUGUUUCAGCAAUUAUUCAGUGCUGUUUCAGCAAAUAUUAAGUACUGUUUCAGCAAUUAUUCAGUGCUGUUUCAGCAAAUAUUCAGUGCCGUUUCAGCAAUAAUACCCCACCUAUUCAGCAAUGUUACAGCACUUAUUCAGCAAGGAUAUGCUAGCUUUUCAUCCUGCAAUAUACUUUAAAAAAUAAUCGAGACAAAUAUAUUUCAAUUUUUAUUUUUCAUUCAAAAUAUCAAGUCUUAAAUUGUCUUUUUCAGGCACUACCUUUUUUAUAAUUUAAAUUUCCAUUUACUGUUUACUUGGUAUUACAUCCUACCGGGUCUUCCCACCUCUCUGAUUAGAAAUAGCUAGCUGUUGCAUGUUGUAGGCCUUAUAGUCCACUAUGAGGUAAUCAUUCUGAUUGUCAUAUAGAUCUAUAGGCCUUGUCUGUAUCCAACGAAUUUUUAGGAUAAUCCACUUCUUAAUUUGCUUGAAUCCAUCUGAAAUUAUACUAGCAUACAUGUACAUUGUAAACUUAACAAUGUGUUUAAUCUUAUAAAUAAUGAUCGAAGUUCAUAUAAAUUCAUGAUCUUAAUUAAUUCAACAUGGAAUGCUUCAAAUUUAUGUGAUCGAAAGUUCUAAUUUUUACAUAGUACAGGCACUUAAUAGGACUAUUAGGUUAACAUUAACACAAAAAUUCAUACCUCGAACUGCUAACAAAAUGGCGUCGAAGAUUCAGGCCAGGGAAACCAAGAUCUGGAGGUUUUCAUGCUUAUGCAUUCUCCCUCAAGGUAUUUACUAAAAUCUUUUCUUGGAUCCUUUAUACAGGAGAGUGGAAUCGCAUUAAAUUCAUCUUCACCCACUCAUACAACGAUGGCGUUAUGAUUUCAAGACAUGGCUGUUGAUCAAACGAAUUUUUUCCCGCGUGCAAUACUUCCGUCUGCGAUGAAUAUUAAACUGGUACCCUUAUCGACCUCGCCUAUUUUGUAUGUAGGUAGCAUCGAUCAGCGGGGAACCAGUUUACAAAUAUUUUAAAAAAAUAUUGUCAAAAGUAUUAUAGCUUUUAAAAUAAAGGAUAUAUUCCAAUAUUUCUCCUAUAAAUUUUUUUUAUCGAUUUUUUUAAUACUUUGUAAUUGAUUGACAACUUCCGUCAACAUCGGAAGAAAACACAGAAGAUGGAGGCCGGAGGGGCAGUGCAGUGAGAAGAUUCUGCCUUACUUAACAUUAAGUCAUUCUUAGGAGAACUUCUUAGUAGAUAAUAAGCAGGCUGACUCUUUAUAAAUUGGGAAGAGGAAGGAGUCGGAACUGUACAUUCUGGAGGGAGUGGCUUGUGCUGAGUUUUAUUUUUUAAGGAAACUUCCUUUCAACAUGUUCAACAACAGAAAAUUUGUGAAUUAACACACUGUAGAGUGCCAAAAUCUGUUGCAACAGAAUUAUAGUUGCAGAUUAAUCUAAUAGAUCUGCCUGUGAUGACCAUGAUUGGAACUAUAUCUUGUUUAGUAAAUGGACUUAAAUAAUGAUCAACUCCAAAAAGUACCAAAAACUGUUACAACAGAAUUGCUACAGUAUAGAUGCCUGUGAUGACCAUGAUCGAGACUAAUAUUUUUGAUGAAGUGUUAAAGUGUAUACACAGACACAAACAUGGGCAUAGUUAAUUUGUUUUGUAUUAUAUAAUGUCCAUGAUGGUUUGAUUUCAUUGUCAUGUCAUAUAUUAUGAUUAUAGUUUAAAUAAUUUAUCUCCAA
Ostrea edulis (European flat oyster) is the source of this 2059-nucleotide long non-coding RNA. RefSeq lists it as uncharacterized. NCBI's taxonomy places the organism in Eukaryota, Metazoa, Mollusca, Bivalvia, Ostreida, Ostreidae. The record is from RefSeq and is a predicted model, not a curated record. The transcript has 2 exons.